CAGAAAAUAAUAUAUAAUUAAGUAUAUAAAUUUUGGAGAUUUAAAGAGAAAUAUCUUUUCUGA
RNAcentral lists this transfer RNA (63 nucleotides) under Hyalomma aegyptium. RNAcentral's name for it is "tRNA-Pro". The record is from RNAcentral. Lineage: Eukaryota; Metazoa; Arthropoda; Arachnida; Ixodida; Ixodidae.